GAGUUUGAUCCUGGCUCAGAUUGAACGCUGGCGGCAUGCCUUACACAUGCAAGUCGAACGGCAGCACGGGAGCAAUCCUGGUGGCGAGUGGCGAACGGGUGAGUAAUAUAUCGGAACGUGCCCAGUAGUGGGGGAUAGCCCGGCGAAAGCCGGAUUAAUACCGCAUGAGACCUGAGGGUGAAAGCGGGGGAUCGCAAGACCUCGCGCUACUGGAGCGGCCGAUAUCAAAUUAACUAGUUGGUGGGGUAAAGGCCUACAAAGGCAACAAUCUGUAUUUGGUCUGAGAGGACGACCAGCCCCACUGGGACUGAAACACGGGACAGACUCCCCACCCUCCCCCGGUGGGGAAUUUUGGACAAUGGGCGCAAGCCUGAUCCAUCAAUGCCGCGUGCAGGAAGAAGGCCCUCGGGUUGUAAACUGCUUUUGUCCCGCAAGAAAUCCUCUGGGUUAAUACCUCGGGGGGAUGAGGGUACCUGAAGAAUAAGCACCGGCUAACUACCUGCCAGCACCUCGGUAAUACUCAGGGUGCGAGCGUUAAUCUGAAUUACUGUACGUAAAAUCUGCAUCCGCGGCUUUGCAAGACAGAUGUCAAACUCUUCGUGUCCAACUUGAGAACUGCAUUCCCGACUGCAAGCUAGAACACGACACAGGGGAUGGAAUACCACGUGUUCACUGAAAUCCAGUUAUAUGCGGAGGAGCGCGAUGGCGCAGUAUCCACUGCGGUCUGUCCCGACGCUCUUGCACGAACGAGCGAUGAUCAUACCGGAUUACAUACUCGUGCUACUCCACUCCUCAACGAUGCUCAACAGGCUAGUAGAGAUAUCUUGUACAGUCAACGAUCUAACGCCCGAUUCUAACCUCCAGUGUAGACGUCCGUACGAUUAAACCCAAAGGAAUUGACGGUAUCCUAACAUACCGUGAAUGAUGGCUUUAACCUCG
This 939-nucleotide ribosomal RNA is filed under the name iron-reducing bacterium enrichment culture clone FEA_2_D5. Its description in RNAcentral is "bacterial SSU rRNA". It matches the Rfam family "Bacterial small subunit ribosomal RNA", at positions 9 to 953 of the family's 1533-position model. The record is from RNAcentral.